GCACUACCGGGCCGGAAUCUCUCCGAGGCGCUUCUGUUGGGUGUUCAUUAAGGGAGUCCACAGUGCUGAUCCACAAAGCUAACUGGGCUGAUUCUUACCUGUCACAGGAAGUGGACUAUCUGGGUCUCCAUGAAAGAUGCUGUGAUUUUGAAACCAGGUCACCUGGAGCUGGGGGCUGCCUCAGCUCUCUCAGGAUUCUGGAGACAUUGAAUGUGGUGGUGAAGGAGACAGUGGUGGUCAAUGUUAUUUGAGCAGGGUCAACAGGCCCCAGAGCUUCCUGAGUUCACGAUGCAGAAGGCCGCUUACUAUGACAACCCAGGACUCUUUGGAGGCUAUGGCUAUAGCAAAGCCACUGACACUUAUGGCUACAGCAACCCCCAUCAGCCUUACCCACCCCCUGCUGCUGCCAACUCCCUGGACACUGAUUACCCAGGUUCUGCCUGCUCCAUCCAGAGCUCUGCACCUCUUCGAGCCCCACCCCACAAAGGGGCUGAACUCAAUGGAAGCUGCAUGAGACCUGGCACUGGGAACAGCCAAGGUGGAGGUGGUGGCAGCCAGCCUCCUGGGCUGAACUCAGAGCAGCAGCCGCCACAGCCCCCUCCUCCACCACCUACCCUACCCCCCUCCUCACCUACCAACCCUGGAGGUGGAGUGCAAGUCAAGAAGGCCAAGGGUGGGCCCAAUGCUUCUGGCUCUUCAACUACCAUCAGUAAGCAGAUCUUCCCAUGGAUGAAAGAGUCCCGACAGAACUCCAAGCAGAAGAACAGCUGUGCCACUGCAGGAGAGAGCUGCGAGGACAAGAGCCCACCAGGCCCCGCGUCCAAACGGGUGCGCACGGCUUACACGAGCGCACAGCUGGUGGAGUUGGAGAAAGAAUUCCACUUUAACCGCUACUUGUGUCGGCCGCGCCGGGUGGAGAUGGCCAACUUGCUGAACCUCACCGAGCGCCAGAUCAAGAUCUGGUUCCAGAACCGGCGCAUGAAGUACAAGAAGGACCAGAAGGCCAAAGGCAUCCUGCACUCGCCCGCCGGUCAGUCCCCCGAGCGCAGCCCGCCGCUCGGAGGCGCCGCGGGCCACGUGGCCUACUCGGGCCAGCUGCAGCCGGUGCCCGGCCUGGCCUACGAUGCGCCUUCGCCGCCCGCCUUCGCCAAAUCUCAGCCCAACAUGUACGGCCUGGCCGCCUACACGGCGCCGCUCAGCAGCUGCCUACCGCAGCAGAAGCGCUACGCGGCGCCCGAGUUUGAGCCCCACCCCAUGGCGAGCAACGGCGGCGGCUUUCCCAGCGCCAAUCUGCAGGGCAGUCCGGUAUACGUGGGGAGCAACUUCGUCGACUCCAUGGCACCCGCGUCCGGGCCUGUUUUCAACCUGGGCCACCUCUCGCACCCGUCUUCGGCCAGCGUGGACUACAGUUGCGCGGCACAGAUUCCCGGCAAUCACCACCAUGGACCCUGCGACCCUCAUCCUACCUACACAGAUCUCUCGGCCCACCACUCCUCUCAGGGACGCCUACCCGAGGCCCCCAAACUGACGCACCUGUAGCAGCCGCCAUCGGCCAGAACUCGCGGCGAAAUUACCUCUUUUGCUUUGGUGGCGGGGUGGCGGGCGGGGCAGCUCAGUGACACCCCCCCACCCCCUCUGGCCCCGUCGCCGCCUCCCGGGCCUCUGGCCAAGAGCGGCCCAGGCGCAGGCGACUGGGCCUCUCCCCUCCAGGCGCGCUGUCCUUUGGGUGACUCGCCAAAAAUCAGCCGCAAAGAUCCGACUCUGUAAACCUGACAGUGCCAUAUACAGCGGACCGAGGGACUCUAAUCUGGUAAUGGUGUCCCGAAGCAAAGUCGGCCCACGCAUCUCUAUUUGAUUUGACAAAUAAUGCAACUCCUGCUACAUCCCUGGUGACACAAGGUCGGCGGUGGCGCUGCACGAAGGCCACCUGGCCCGCGGCAGGGCGUGGUGUUCAGAGCUCGAGGGCUGCACUGGGGUGGGCGCGUUCCGUCUCCACCCGGAGUCCCUUCGGAAGACAAACGCGGUUCCUCCUCCUCUGGAGCGAGUCUGGGCCAGCUGGGAUCCGACCAGAAACCGCAAGCGAGGAGACGCGAGCGCGCCGGGUGAGCGCCAACCGAGGGCGCGACCCGAUGCCCUGCCCGCCCAACCGAACAGCCAGCCAGGCCUAGGCUCAGCUGUGCGAGGCCCCAGGGAAGCAUCCGUGAGUCUUCUCCUCACCCAUGGGCCUGUGCGGCUGCCCGACAUCACGGUCCUCGCCGGGUCUGGGUGCCUAGGCCCUCGAAGUACUCCGCCUCCUCACCCACGGUGAUUCUGUUUCCCUUACCGCCAACCCACAACCGCGCCCCCAUCCUCUCAAGUGACACCUUUAAAACUCUGCUCUACUCCAGAAAGGGACAAAUCCAUCUCUGAAGGCAAGAGCAGAAAGAUCCAAUGGGUCAGCUGUUCGGGCAGACGCGUGUUUAUUUAAGACUUAAAAAAAAUGCAUUAAAAAUUUUAUUUAAGAGCUUCAAAUUCAGGGAAGAGUUGGAACUAGUUUGAUUCUCUUUACCUGCAAGGGUACUUUGCAUGGGAGGAAGCAGAAUAAGACAGCUGCUGAACUUGGAAUUAAACUCGAAUGUUAUUUUAAAUAACAAUAAAAAUGUACUCAAAACACUAA
Condylura cristata (star-nosed mole) is the source of this 2656-nucleotide RNA transcript. It is a transcript of the gene named homeobox D3, with no coding region annotated. The record is from RefSeq and is a predicted model, not a curated record. NCBI's taxonomy places the organism in Eukaryota, Metazoa, Chordata, Mammalia, Eulipotyphla, Talpidae. The transcript has 7 exons.